Long non-coding RNA from Trachymyrmex septentrionalis, 693 nucleotides. RefSeq lists it as uncharacterized. The transcript is spliced from 5 exons. NCBI's taxonomy places the organism in Eukaryota, Metazoa, Arthropoda, Insecta, Hymenoptera, Formicidae. The record is from RefSeq and is a predicted model, not a curated record.
AUUACUUUGAAAAAUUAUAAAAUCGCGUAAUUGUAAAAUGUGCAAAGCAUCAACAUGAAGUGUUAUGUGCCUGGGUGUGAGCAGAGAAAUGAAAAGGACAUUUCAUUUCAUAGGUUAAUCACUGGCGGUGUGGCACGGGAAUCAAAGGGAACAGUGCGGAGAACCCCAUCCACACAGUUUCAAAGGAACCAGCGGCUACAAAAUUAACACGAUUAGGCUGGCGGUGGACUCGCUCGGGGAUUUCGCAGAUCAAUGCCAAAGUCGAUCAAAAUCGGACCAUCGAUAAAAAGAGCAAGGAGCAACAUAUUGUGAGAUCUUCCCCGUUCGUCAGUGGAUAAGUAGACAUUACAAAAAACUAAAAGGAUAUUAUGCGCGUUGCAAUUAUUGUUCGGAGACAAUAUUAUUUCGUCCCACGUCUGUUUUACUCGAUCAUUUGGUACAGAAACAUUCAAACAAAUUAACAGAAGAAGAAAAGAAAGAUAAACAUUCAUUGUGGAUAUGGGAUUAUUUUACCAUAAAAGACACACAGUGGUUGACAUGUAAUCUAUGUGGACAUAUAAUUCGGAUAAAUAAAUGUACUGGUACUGUACGUUUUCACUUACGUAAGCACAACAUUUCAGCUCCAUGUGUAAAUGUGGAUGAUAUGAGUAGCGAUGCACUCGCGAAUACAACAAUAAAAAAAGAUCAAAUACA